GAAAUGCGAUAAGUAGUGUGAAUUGCAGAAUUCAGUGAAUCAUCGAAUCUUUGAACGCACAUUGCGCCCUUUGGUAUUCCUUAGGGCAUGCCUGUUCGAGCGUCAUCUAAACCUUCAAGCCCUGCUUGGUGUUGGGUGCCUGUCCCGCCUCCGCGCGCGGACUCACCUCAAAUCCAUUGGCGGCCCCCGCGUCGGCCACGAGCGCAGCAGAAACGCGAACUCGUGAGCCCGUCCGGGCGGCUCCCAGAAGCUACACCCACCCAGUUUAACCUCGGAUCAGGUAGGGAUACCCGCUGAACUUAAGC
Molecule: unclassified non-coding RNA, 305 nt
Filed under: plant metagenome
Description: partial contains 5.8S ribosomal RNA, internal transcribed spacer 2, and large subunit ribosomal RNA
Rfam family: 5.8S ribosomal RNA (bases 1-105)
Source: RNAcentral